Molecule: ribosomal RNA, 255 nt
Filed under: uncultured bacterium
Lineage: Bacteria
Description: partial 16S ribosomal RNA
Rfam family: Bacterial small subunit ribosomal RNA
Source: RNAcentral
CGGCACAGAGGGAAGCCAGGUGGCGACACCGCGCGGAACCGAAGCCGUUCUCAGUUCGGAUCGGAGUCUGCAACCCGACUCCGUGAAGCUGGAUUCGCUAGUAAUCGCGCAUCAGCCAUGGCGCGGUGAAUACGUUCCCGGGCCUUGUACACACCGCCCGUCAAGCCAUGGGAGCCGGGGGUGCUUGAAGUGCGUCGCCGCAAGGCGCGCCCUAGAGCAAAACCGGUGACUGGGGCUAAGUCGUAACAAGGUACC